CCUACGGGAGACAGCAGUGAGGAAUAUUGGUCAAUGGGCUUACGCCUGAACCAGCCAAGUCGCGUGAGGGAAGACUGCCCUAUGGGUUGUAAACCUCUUUUGUCAGGGAGCAAUUGGCGCUACGUGUAGCGUUAUCGAGAGUACCUGAAGAAAAAGCAUCGGCUAACUCCGUGCCAGCAGCCGCGGUAAUACGGGGGAUGCGAGCGUUAUCCGGCUUUAUUGGGUUUAAAGGGUGCGUAGGCGGAAUGCCAAGUCAGCGGUAAAAUCGCGGGGCUCAACCUCGCUCCGCCGUUGAAACUGGCGGUCUUGAGUGGGCGAGAAGUAUGCGGAAUGCGUGGUGUAGCGGUGAAAUGCAUAGAUAUCACGCAGAACUCCGAUUGCGAAGGCAGCAUACCGGAGCCCAACUGACGCUGAAGCACGAAAGCGUGGGUAUCGAACAGGAUUAGAUACCCUGGUAGUC
Molecule: ribosomal RNA, 460 nt
Filed under: uncultured bacterium
Lineage: Bacteria
Description: partial 16S ribosomal RNA
Rfam family: Bacterial small subunit ribosomal RNA
Source: RNAcentral